AUGGCCUCGGAAACCAGUCAAUUCGGAAUCGAGACCGACUCGAUCACCCUUCAACGUUACGUGCUCCAAGAGCAGCGUAAGCAUGCCGAUGCAAGUGGAGAGCUUACCGCGUUGCUCACCAACAUGCUCGUCGCCAUCAAGGCAAUCGCUUCAGCCACCCAGAAGGCAGGACUCGCGAAAUUAUACGGAAUCGCUGGAGCCACCAACGUACAAGGCGAGGAAGUGAAGAAGCUUGACGUGCUGAGCAAUGAGCUCAUGAUCAACAUGCUCAAGAGCAGCUACACAACAUGUCUCCUAGUCUCCGAGGAGAACGAUGAGCUCAUUGAGGUGGAGGAGCAACGUCGUGGAAAGUACAUUGUGACUUUUGAUCCAUUGGAUGGAUCUUCCAAUAUCGAUUGCCUCGUCUCAAUCGGAACCAUCUUCGGAAUCUACAAAAAACGUGGAGAUGGUCCGGCGACUGUCGAUGAUGUUCUGAAGCCUGGAAAGGAAAUGGUGGCAGCUGGUUAUGCUCUCUAUGGAUCUGCUACUAUGGUCGUUUUGUCCACUGGUGAUGGUGUCAAUGGGUUCACUCUUGACCCUUCCAUCGGAGAGUUCAUCCUAACCCACCCAAAUAUGAAAUGCAAGGAAAAGGGUUCAAUCUACUCGCUAAACGAAGGAUAUGCUCAGACAUGGAGCAAGGGUUUCGCCGAGUAUAUUCGUACACGAAAGUAUCCAGAAGCCGGCAAAAAGGCAAUGGGACAGAGAUAUGUCGGGUCGAUGGUUGCCGAUGUUCAUCGUACAAUUCUCAACGGAGGAAUCUUUCUCUAUCCACCAACUGUAUCGGCUCCAAAUGGAAAGCUCCGCUUGUUGUACGAGUGUAAUCCGAUGGCUUAUAUCAUUGAACAGGCCGGAGGUCUCGCCACGACUGGAAAAGAACGUAUUCUUGAUAUUCAGCCAACACAGGUAAUUUUCCACAAAUCGAGGAGAAAAGACCCUGAAACCAAAUUGCCGGUUUGCCGAUUUGCCGGAAAUUUUCAAUUCCGGCAAUUUGCCUAUUUUCCUAAAAUUUCAAUUCCGGCAAUUUGCCGAUUUGGCGGAAAUUUAAAUUCCGGCAAUUUGCCGAUUCGCCGGAAAUUUCAAUUCCGGCAAUUUGCUAAUUUGACGGGAAUUCCAAAUUCCGGCAAUUCGCUGAUUUGCCGGAAAUUUUCAAUUCCGGCAAUUUGCCGAUUUUCCGGAAAUUUUAAAUUCCGGCAAUUUGCCGAUUUUCCGGAAAUUUUAAAUUCCGGCAAUUUGCCGAUUUUCCGGAAAUUUUCAAUUCCGGCAAUUGGCAGAUUUUUCGGAAAUUUCAAUUUCGGCAAUUGGCCGAUUUGCCGGAAAUUUUCAAUUCCGGCAAAUUGCCGUUUUUCUGGAAAUUUCAAUUCCGGCAAUUUGCCGAUUUGUCGGAAAUUUCAAUUCCGGAAAUUUGCUAAUUUGACGGAAAUUCCAAAUUCCGGCAAUUCGCUGAUUUGCCGGAAAUUUUCAAUUCCGGCAAUUGGCCGAUUUUCUGGAAAUUUUAAAUUCCGCCAAUUUGCUGAUUUUUUGGAAAUUUCAAUUCUGGCAAUUUUCCGCUUUGCCGGAAAUUUCAACUCUGGCAAUUUGCCGGAAAUUUCAAUUUUGGCAAUUUGCCGAUUUGUCGGAAAUUUUCAAUUCCGGCAAUUUGCCGAUUUUCUGGAAAUUUCAAUUCCGGCAAUUUGCCAAUUUGCCGGAAAUUUUCAAUUCUGGAAAAGAACGCAUUCUCGAUAUUCAGCCAACACAGAUUCACCAACGCGCUCCAAUCAUUCUCGGAUCGAAACUCGACGUCGAGGAGGCUCUCGAAUAUCUUGCCAAAUAUGA
Caenorhabditis elegans is the source of this 1851-nucleotide RNA transcript. It is a transcript of the gene named Non-coding transcript of protein-coding gene fbp-1, with no coding region annotated. The transcript is spliced from 4 exons. The record is from RefSeq and is marked reviewed. Lineage: Eukaryota; Metazoa; Nematoda; Chromadorea; Rhabditida; Rhabditidae.